UCCAGGGUACCCUAGUGGACAUGGCACCUGCCCGGUAAGCAGAAGGUUGUGGGUUCGAUUCCCGCCCCUGGAC
RNAcentral lists this transfer RNA (73 nucleotides) under Cordylochernes scorpioides. Its description in RNAcentral is "tRNA-Thr". It matches the Rfam family "tRNA". From Rfam's summary of the family: Transfer RNA (tRNA) molecules are approximately 80 nucleotides in length. The record is from RNAcentral. Lineage: Eukaryota; Metazoa; Arthropoda; Arachnida; Pseudoscorpiones; Chernetidae.